CUGUUGUGGCCUUUUAGGCAGUUUUUCACUGCCUGUUUUCUUGGUGUGGUCUUCAGUGGGUGGCGGAGUGUGAUUGCAUUUGCAGGACACUGACUUAAGAAGACCUUUUGUUUUGACAAAGCAGUUGGCAAGGACAUCUUUGAAUAAGGAUUAGUCCCUCACACUCCCACAAGCAUAUAAAACAGAAAUGAGGAGAAGAGGAAAAAUUGUUCAUUUUAAUCAAAUAAGGUCACUUUGUAAGCUUUGAUGCCUUAGUUUCAAGCCAUGCAAGAAUAGUUCCAGUCAAAGAUUUCUUUUUUGUAAUUUGAUGAAUCAAACUUGAGAAUAAGUGGAUCCAUUUGAUUGCAGGAAUUUUUAGUGAAUUUUCCUUUUCACUAUGCA
Macadamia integrifolia is the source of this 381-nucleotide long non-coding RNA. RefSeq lists it as uncharacterized. The record is from RefSeq and is a predicted model, not a curated record. The transcript has 2 exons. Lineage: Eukaryota; Viridiplantae; Streptophyta; Magnoliopsida; Proteales; Proteaceae.